Molecule: unclassified non-coding RNA, 378 nt
Filed under: uncultured bacterium
Lineage: Bacteria
Description: contains 16S-23S intergenic spacer region
Source: RNAcentral
UCCCCGUUCACCGAGGCAGUCCCCUCAGAGUGCCCGGCAUCACCCGGUAGCAACAGAGGGCAAGGGUUGCGCUCGUUGCGGGACUUAACCCAACAUCUCACGACACGAGCUGACGACAGCCAUGCAGCACCUGUGCCCCAGCCCCGAAGGGAAGACGCCUUUCAGCGCCGGUCUGGGGCAUGUCAAACCCAGGUAAGGUUCUUCGCGUUGCGUCGAAUUAAACCACAUGCUCCACCGCUUGUGCGGGCCCCCGUCAAUUCCUUUGAGUUUCAGCCUUGCGGCCGUACUCCCCAGGCGGGGCACUUAAUGCGUUAGCGCCGGCACCCAGGGGGUCGCUCCCCCAGGCACCUAGUGCCCAUCGUUUACGGCGUGGACUAC